CGACGCCGCGUGGGUGAUGAAGGCCUUCGGGUGUAAAGCCCUGUGGGGAGGGACGAAUAACGCCGACCUAAUACGUCGGUGGAUGACGGUACUCCUUAGCAAGCACCGGCUAACUCUGUGCCAGCAGCCGCGGUAAGACAGAGGGUGCAAACGUUGUUCGGAAUUACUGGGCGUAAAGCGCGAGUAGGCGGUCAUGCAAGUCGGGUGUGAAAGCCCGGGGCUCAACCCCGGAAGUGCAUUCGAUACUGCGUGGCUAGAGUACUGGAGAGGAUGGUGGAACUCUCGGUGUAGAGGUGAAAUUCGUAGAUAUCGAGAAGAACACCGGUGGCGAAGGCGGCCAUCUGGACAGAUACUGACGCUGAGACGCGAAAGCGUGGGGAGCAAACAGGAUUAGAUACCCUGGUAGUCCACGCCGUAAACGAUGGGUGCUAGGUGUCACGGGUAUUGACCCCUGUGGUGCCGAAGCUAACGCAUUAAGCACCCCGCCUGGGAAGUACGGCCGCAAGGCUA
Molecule: ribosomal RNA, 510 nt
Filed under: uncultured Pseudomonadota bacterium
Lineage: Bacteria; Pseudomonadati; Pseudomonadota
Description: bacterial SSU rRNA
Rfam family: Bacterial small subunit ribosomal RNA
Source: RNAcentral